AGCUACAGGCUUAACACAUGCAAGUCGAGGGGCAGCAUGAACUUAGCUUGCUAAGUUUGAUGGCGACCGGCGCACGGGUGAGUAACGCGUAUCCAACCUUCCGUACACUCAGGAAUAGCCUUUCGAAAGAAAGAUUAAUACCUGAUGGUAUGAUGAGAUUGCAUGAAAUCAUCAUUAAAGAUUCAUCGGUGUACGAUGGGGAUGCGUUCCAUUAGAUAGUAGGCGGGGUAACGGCCCACCUAGUCGACGAUGGAUAGGGGUUCUGAGAGGAAGGUCCCCCACAUUGGAACUGAGACACGGUCCAAACUCCUACGGGAGGCAGCAGUGAGGAAUAUUGGUCAAUGGGCGCGAGCCUGAACCAGCCAAGUAGCGUGAAGGAUGAAGGUCCUACGGAUUGUAAACUUCUUUUAUAAGGGAAUAAAGUCACCUACGUGUAGGUGUUUGUAUGUACCUUAUGAAUAAGCAUCGGCUAACUCCGUGCCAGCAGCCGCGGUAAUACGGAGGAUGCGAGCGUUAUCCGGAUUUAUUGGGUUUAAAGGGAGCGUAGACGGGUCGUUAAGUCAGCUGUGAAAGUUUGAGGCUCAACCUUAAAAUUGCAGUUGAUACUGGCGUCCUUGAGUACGGUUGAGGCAGGCGGAAUUCGUGGUGUAGCGGUGAAAUGCAUAGAUAUCACGAAGAACUCCGAUUG
Molecule: ribosomal RNA, 688 nt
Filed under: uncultured bacterium
Lineage: Bacteria
Description: bacterial SSU rRNA
Rfam family: Bacterial small subunit ribosomal RNA
Source: RNAcentral